CGAAUGAGGAGAUUCAUCGUCAGCUUAUUCAGUAUUAAUGCAGGCUAUGAUGUGAUAAUAGAACCCUUGUGGUCACUAGAUUAUACUUGCUUGUAUUAUUUUUGCUGGGUAUGUCGGCGUGCACUUCUCCUCUAGUAGAACGUCGCAACCCGUUGGAUGUUUAUCUAUGGCUUGAAUGGUAGCCUUUGAUAUUUUUUAUAUUGAAGACCUUCGAUGUCCUGAUAAACUGUUUGACGGUAUACAUAUGGUAUUGAGCCGCAAUUAUUUGCGUUAGACUUGCCGCAAGUAUGACUUUAUUCUAGUAGUGCGGAUCUAACGCCGUCGCUGGACA
Molecule: ribosomal RNA, 331 nt
Filed under: Cotesia sp. HD-202
Lineage: Eukaryota; Metazoa; Arthropoda; Insecta; Hymenoptera; Braconidae
Description: partial 28S ribosomal RNA
Source: RNAcentral